This 468-nucleotide ribosomal RNA is filed under the name uncultured bacterium. RNAcentral describes it as "partial 16S ribosomal RNA". It matches the Rfam family "Bacterial small subunit ribosomal RNA", at positions 28 to 507 of the family's 1533-position model. The record is from RNAcentral.
GACGAACGCUGGCGGCGUGCUUAACACAUGCAAGUCGAACGGUAAGGCCCUGCUUUUGUGGGGUGCUUGAGUGGCGAACGGGUGAGUAACACGUGAGUAACCUGCCCUUGUCUUUGGGAUAACUUCAGGAAACGGGGGCUAAUACCGGAUAGGAGCUCCUGCUCCAUGGUGGGUGUGGGAAAGUUUCGGCGGGUGGGGAUGGACGCGGGGCUUAUGAGUUUGUUGGUGGGGUAGUGGGUUACCAACGCGUUGACGGGUAGCGGGACUGCGAAGGUGAACGGCAAAAAAGGGACUGGGAGACGGCCGAGAGGGCUACGGGGGACAGUGGUGGGGAAUCUACAGCACUGGGCGGACGCCGGGUGCAGAGUCGUCGGGGGCGAGAUGUCGGUUGUCGGAUUAUAAAACGGUUUCGACUAUGACGAGGCUGGAGUGACGGUAAUGGGUAAAGAAGCACCGGCUAACUACGUG